RNAcentral lists this ribosomal RNA (612 nucleotides) under uncultured bacterium. RNAcentral's name for it is "bacterial SSU rRNA". The stretch from base 1 to 522 matches the Rfam family "Bacterial small subunit ribosomal RNA", at positions 338 to 873 of the family's 1533-position model. The record is from RNAcentral.
CCUACGGGAGGCAGCAGUGGGGAAUAUUGGGCAAUGGAGGAAACUCUGACCCAGCGACGCCGCGUGAGGGAUGAAGGCCUUCGGGUUGUAAACCUCUUUCAGUAGGGAAGAAGCGAAAGUGACGGUACCUACAGAAGAAGCACCGGCUAACUAUGUGCCAGCAGCCGCGGUGAUACAUAGGGUGCAAGCGUUGUCCGGAAUUAUUGGGCGUAAAGAGCUCGUAGGUGGUUCGAUACGUCGGAUGUGAAAAUCAGGGGCUCAACCCCUGACCUGCAUCCGAUACGGUCGAGCUAGAGUUUGGUAGGGGAGACUGGAAUUCCUGGUGUAGCGGUGGAAUGCGCAGAUAUCAGGAGGAACACCGAUGGCGAAGGCAGGUCUCUGGGCCAAUACCUGACACUGAGGAGCGAAAGCGUGGGGAGCGAACAGGAUUAGAUACCCUGGUAGUCCACGCCGUAAACGGUGGGCGCUAGUUGUGCGAACCUUCCACGGUUUGUGCGACGCNGCUACGACAUAGCGCCCGCCGCGGGAGUACGAGUCGCGAGAGUUAAACGUUAAAGGUAAAGUUAGUUACGGACGUGAGACGUAGCCGACGGACGACGACGAGGGAGGAGG